GGCGGCAUUCAAUAUCCUCAGAGGAACCUGUUUUUUAAUCGACAACCCCCGCUAUAUUUAACUUAAAUAUAAAUUUUAUAUACCGCUGUCUAAAGAGUUCUAUUAAUAUUCCCCUCUCUACUAAAAUAAGUCAAGUAAAGGUGUAAACAAACUUUAAGUAAAAAUGGGUUACUUUAAAAAAUAAUUAAAGAUCACAUUUUAACACUUGUGUGAAUAAGGAUCUAUAAGUAAAAGUCUAAUAAUAAUAAUCUACUUUAAAACAAAUAUUAAUGUGC
RNAcentral lists this ribosomal RNA (275 nucleotides) under Mysmena sp. MYSM-013-THAI. Its description in RNAcentral is "partial 12S ribosomal RNA". Lineage: Eukaryota; Metazoa; Arthropoda; Arachnida; Araneae; Mysmenidae. The record is from RNAcentral.